AGUAACACGUCGGUAACCUACCCUCGGGAGGGGGAUAACCCCGGGAAACUGGGGCUAAUCCCCCAUAGGCCUGAGGUACUGGAAGGUCCUCAGGCCGAAAGGGGCUCUGCCCGCCCGAGGAUGGGCCGGCGGCCGAUUAGGUAGUUGGUGGGGUAACGGCCCACCAAGCCGAAGAUCGGUACGGGCCAUGAGAGUGGGAGCCCGGAGAUGGACACUGAGACACGGGUCCAGGCCCUACGGGGCGCAGCAGGCGCGAAACCUCCGCAAUGCGGGCAACCGCGACGGGGGGACCCCCAGUGCCGUGGCAUCGCCACGGCUUUUCCGGAGUGUAAAGAGCUCCGGGAAUAAGGGCUGGGCAAGGCCGGUGGCAGCCGCCGCGGUAAUACCGGCGGCCCGAGUGGUGGCCGCUAUUAUUGGGCCUAAAGCGUC
RNAcentral lists this ribosomal RNA (429 nucleotides) under Thermococcus sp. 18S1. RNAcentral describes it as "bacterial SSU rRNA". It matches the Rfam family "Archaeal small subunit ribosomal RNA", at positions 92 to 519 of the family's 1478-position model. The record is from RNAcentral. Lineage: Archaea; Methanobacteriati; Methanobacteriota; Thermococci; Thermococcales; Thermococcaceae.